UACGGGGGGGGCAAGCGUUGUUCGGAUUCACUGGGCGUAAAGGGUGCGUAGGUGGCCAGGUAAGUUUGGUGUGAAAGCUCGGAGCUUAACUCCGAAAUGUCAUUGAAUACUAUCUGGCUGGAGGGUCGGAGGGGAGACUGGAAUUCUCGGUGUAGCAGUGAAAUGCGUAGAUAUCGAGAGGAACACCAGUGGCGAAGGCGAGUCUCUGGACGACUCCUGACACUGAGGCACGAAAGCCGGGGGAGCAAACAGG
Molecule: ribosomal RNA, 253 nt
Filed under: uncultured bacterium
Lineage: Bacteria
Description: partial 16S ribosomal RNA
Rfam family: Bacterial small subunit ribosomal RNA
Source: RNAcentral